Bubalus bubalis (water buffalo) is the source of this 712-nucleotide RNA transcript. It is a transcript of the gene named histone H4, with no coding region annotated. The record is from RefSeq and is a predicted model, not a curated record. The transcript has 4 exons. NCBI's taxonomy places the organism in Eukaryota, Metazoa, Chordata, Mammalia, Artiodactyla, Bovidae.
UGCAUUAAGCACAUUCGGCAUUAGUAUUCAGCAUUUAGGUAAUAUGUCUGGUCGCGGCAAGGGCGGAAAAGGCCUUGGAAAGGGGGGCGCUAAGCGUCACCGUAAGGUUUUGCGCGACAACAUCCAGGGCAUCACAAAGCCGGCUAUCCGUCGCCUGGCCCGCCGUGGAGGAGUGAAGCGGAUCUCCGGUCUUAUCUACGAGGAGACCCGUGGGGUGCUGAAGGUGUUUCUGGAGAACGUGAUCCGGGACGCGGUCACCUACACCGAGCACGCCAAGCGCAAGACUGUCACCGCCAUGGAUGUGGUCUACGCGCUCAAGCGUCAGGGCCGCACUCUCUAUGGAUUUGGUGUGUCUUAUCAUUUAUGGCACAUUCUGGAAGAGAUGGCUCAAGGAGGGUUUACAAAUUGAUAAUGGAGAACAAGAGUUUGUUGUUUGGCACGAAUCACAAGCCAGGAAUAGGAGCCAAAGAAGCAAACUGAGAAACAUCACGGAGAACAUAGGAUCUUGGUGUUAAGAUGACUGAUGACCUCCUAGUCACGCUACAUUUCCAACGGGUCCUUCAAGACUGCACUGGGGGCAAAAAACACAGCCACUCGGCAGAGCCGAGGAGUCCUCCCUAGCCGCGCGGCGCACAGAGCAGGCAACCAAUCAUCACUCAGCGACUCUCUAUAUAAACCCCCAGCCGGCGACGCCCGGGACACGCCGUUCUGA